Molecule: ribosomal RNA, 2339 nt
Filed under: Escherichia coli
Lineage: Bacteria; Pseudomonadati; Pseudomonadota; Gammaproteobacteria; Enterobacterales; Enterobacteriaceae
Description: partial 23S ribosomal RNA
Rfam family: Bacterial large subunit ribosomal RNA
Source: RNAcentral
CGGGACACGUGGUAUCCUGUCUGAAUAUGGGGGGACCAUCCUCCAAGGCUAAAUACUCCUGACUGACCGAUAGUGAACCAGUACCGUGAGGGAAAGGCGAAAAGAACCCCGGCGAGGGGAGUGAAAAAGAACCUGAAACCGUGUACGUACAAGCAGUGGGAGCACAGAGCAAUCUGUGUGACUGCGUACCUUUUGUAUAAUGGGUCAGCGACUUAUAUUCUGUAGCAAGGUUAACCGAAUAGGGGAGCCGAAGGGAAACCGAGUCUUAACCGGGCGUUAAGUUGCAGGGUAUAGACCCGAAACCCGGUGAUCUAGCCAUGGGCAGGUUGAAGGUUGGGUAACACUAACUGGAGGACCGAACCGACUAAUGUUGAAAAAUUAGCGGAUGACUUGUGGCUGGGGGUGAAAGGCCAAUCAAACCGGGAGAUAGCUGGUUCUCCCCGAAAGCUAUUUAGGUAGCGCCUCGUGAAUUCAUCUCCGGGGGUAGAGCACUGUUUCGGCAAGGGGGUCAUCCCGACUUACCAACCCGAUGCAAACUGCGAAUACCGGAGAAUGUUAUCACGGGAGACACACGGCGGGUGCUAACGUCCGUCGUGAAGAGGGAAACAACCCAGACCGCCAGCUAAGGUCCCAAAGUCAUGGUUAAGUGGGAAACGAUGUGGGAAGGCCCAGACAGCCAGGAUGUUGGCUUAGAAGCAGCCAUCAUUUAAAGAAAGCGUAAUAGCUCACUGGUCGAGUCGGCCUGCGCGGAAGAUGUAACGGGGCUAAACCAUGCACCGAAGCUGCGGCAGCGACACUGUGUGUUGUUGGGUAGGGGAGCGUUCUGUAAGCCUGUGAAGGUGUGCUGUGAGGCAUGCUGGAGGUAUCAGAAGUGCGAAUGCUGACAUAAGUAACGAUAAAGCGGGUGAAAAGCCCGCUCGCCGGAAGACCAAGGGUUCCUGUCCAACGUUAAUCGGGGCAGGGUGAGUCGACCCCUAAGGCGAGGCCGAAAGGCGUAGUCGAUGGGAAACAGGUUAAUAUUCCUGUACUUGGUGUUACUGCGAAGGGGGGACGGAGAAGGCUAUGUUGGCCGGGCGACGGUUGUCCCGGUUUAAGCGUGUAGGCUGGUUUUCCAGGCAAAUCCGGAAAAUCAAGGCUGAGGCGUGAUGACGAGGCACUACGGUGCUGAAGCAACAAAUGCCCUGCUUCCAGGAAAAGCCUCUAAGCAUCAGGUAACAUCAAAUCGUACCCCAAACCGACACAGGUGGUCAGGUAGAGAAUACCAAGGCGCUUGAGAGAACUCGGGUGAAGGAACUAGGCAAAAUGGUGCCGUAACUUCGGGAGAAGGCACGCUGAUAUGUAGGUGAAGUCCCUCGCGGAUGGAGCUGAAAUCAGUCGAAGAUACCAGCUGGCUGCAACUGUUUAUUAAAAACACAGCACUGUGCAAACACGAAAGUGGACGUAUACGGUGUGACGCCUGCCCGGUGCCGGAAGGUUAAUUGAUGGGGUCAGCGCAAGCGAAGCUCUUGAUCGAAGCCCCGGUAAACGGCGGCCGUAACUAUAACGGUCCUAAGGUAGCGAAAUUCCUUGUCGGGUAAGUUCCGACCUGCACGAAUGGCGUAAUGAUGGCCAGGCUGUCUCCACCCGAGACUCAGUGAAAUUGAACUCGCUGUGAAGAUGCAGUGUACCCGCGGCAAGACGGAAAGACCCCGUGAACCUUUACUAUAGCUUGACACUGAACAUUGAGCCUUGAUGUGUAGGAUAGGUGGGAGGCUUUGAAGUGUGGACGCCAGUCUGCAUGGAGCCGACCUUGAAAUACCACCCUUUAAUGUUUGAUGUUCUAACGUGGACCCGUGAUCCGGGUUGCGGACAGUGUCUGGUGGGUAGUUUGACUGGGGCGGUCUCCUCCUAAAGAGUAACGGAGGAGCACGAAGGUUGGCUAAUCCUGGUCGGACAUCAGGAGGUUAGUGCAAUGGCAUAAGCCAGCUUGACUGCGAGCGUGACGGCGCGAGCAGGUGCGAAAGCAGGUCAUAGUGAUCCGGUGGUUCUGAAUGGAAGGGCCAUCGCUCAACGGAUAAAAGGUACUCCGGGGAUAACAGGCUGAUACCGCCCAAGAGUUCAUAUCGACGGCGGUGUUUGGCACCUCGAUGUCGGCUCAUCACAUCCUGGGGCUGAAGUAGGUCCCAAGGGUAUGGCUGUUCGCCAUUUAAAGUGGUACGCGAGCUGGGUUUAGAACGUCGUGAGACAGUUCGGUCCCUAUCUGCCGUGGGCGCUGGAGAACUGAGGGGGGCUGCUCCUAGUACGAGAGGACCGGAGUGGACGCAUCACUGGUGUUCGGGUUGUCAUGCCAAUGGCACUGC